RNAcentral lists this ribosomal RNA (292 nucleotides) under uncultured bacterium. Its description in RNAcentral is "partial 16S ribosomal RNA". It matches the Rfam family "Bacterial small subunit ribosomal RNA", at positions 505 to 796 of the family's 1533-position model. The record is from RNAcentral.
GUGUCAGCCGCCGCGGUAAGACAGAGGCCUCGAGCGUUAGGCGGAAUCACUGGGCUUAAAGCGUGUGUAGGCGGAAGCGUAAGUACCUUGUGAAAUCCCACGGCUCAACCGUGGAACUGCUGGGUAUACUGCGUUUCUUGAGCAAUCUAGGGGCGAGUGGAACGGAUGGUGGAGCGGUGAAAUGCAUAGAUAUCAUCCGGAACGCCUGUGGUGAAGACGACUCGCUGGGGAUUUGCUGACGCUGAGACACGAAAGCCAGGGGAGCAAACGGGAUUAGAAACCCCCGUAGUCC